Molecule: ribosomal RNA, 1428 nt
Filed under: Lactiplantibacillus pentosus
Lineage: Bacteria; Bacillati; Bacillota; Bacilli; Lactobacillales; Lactobacillaceae
Also listed under: 1 other name
Description: bacterial SSU rRNA
Rfam family: Bacterial small subunit ribosomal RNA
Source: RNAcentral
UGCAAGUCGAACGAACUCUGGUAUUGAUUGGUGCUUGCAUCAUGAUUUACAUUUGAGUGAGUGGCGAACUGGUGAGUAACACGUGGGAAACCUGCCCAGAAGCGGGGGAUAACACCUGGAAACAGAUGCUAAUACCGCAUAACAACUUGGACCGCAUGGUCCGAGUUUGAAAGAUGGCUUCGGCUAUCACUUUUGGAUGGUCCCGCGGCGUAUUAGCUAGAUGGUGGGGUAACGGCUCACCAUGGCAAUGAUACGUAGCCGACCUGAGAGGGUAAUCGGCCACAUUGGGACUGAGACACGGCCCAAACUCCUACGGGAGGCAGCAGUAGGGAAUCUUCCACAAUGGACGAAAGUCUGAUGGAGCAACGCCGCGUGAGUGAAGAAGGGUUUCGGCUCGUAAAACUCUGUUGUUAAAGAAGAACAUAUCUGAGAGUAACUGUUCAGGUAUUGACGGUAUUUAACCAGAAAGCCACGGCUAACUACGUGCCAGCAGCCGCGGUAAUACGUAGGUGGCAAGCGUUGUCCGGAUUUAUUGGGCGUAAAGCGAGCGCAGGCGGUUUUUUAAGUCUGAUGUGAAAGCCUUCGGCUCAACCGAAGAAGUGCAUCGGAAACUGGGAAACUUGAGUGCAGAAGAGGACAGUGGAACUCCAUGUGUAGCGGUGAAAUGCGUAGAUAUAUGGAAGAACACCAGUGGCGAAGGCGGCUGUCUGGUCUGUAACUGACGCUGAGGCUCGAAAGUAUGGGUAGCAAACAGGAUUAGAUACCCUGGUAGUCCAUACCGUAAACGAUGAAUGCUAAGUGUUGGAGGGUUUCCGCCCUUCAGUGCUGCAGCUAACGCAUUAAGCAUUCCGCCUGGGGAGUACGGCCGCAAGGCUGAAACUCAAAGGAAUUGACGGGGGCCCGCACAAGCGGUGGAGCAUGUGGUUUAAUUCGAAGCUACGCGAAGAACCUUACCAGGUCUUGACAUACUAUGCAAAUCUAAGAGAUUAGACGUUCCCUUCGGGGACAUGGAUACAGGUGGUGCAUGGUUGUCGUCAGCUCGUGUCGUGAGAUGUUGGGUUAAGUCCCGCAACGAGCGCAACCCUUAUUAUCAGUUGCCAGCAUUAAGUUGGGCACUCUGGUGAGACUGCCGGUGACAAACCGGAGGAAGGUGGGGAUGACGUCAAAUCAUCAUGCCCCUUAUGACCUGGGCUACACACGUGCUACAAUGGAUGGUACAACGAGUUGCGAACUCGCGAGAGUAAGCUAAUCUCUUAAAGCCAUUCUCAGUUCGGAUUGUAGGCUGCAACUCGCCUACAUGAAGUCGGAAUCGCUAGUAAUCGCGGAUCAGCAUGCCGCGGUGAAUACGUUCCCGGGCCUUGUACACACCGCCCGUCACACCAUGAGAGUUUGUAACACCCAAAGUCGGUGGGGUAACCUUUUAGGAAC